CCCGCCUCGGCCUCCCAAAGUGCUGGGAUUACAGGCAUGAGCCACCGCGCCUGGCCCAAACUUAGAAGUUAUUGAGGGUUGCCAUCAAUAUGGCGGAAAUUGUAAGGCACGUUUACAACACGAAGCGAAGAGAAGGGAUUCGCUAAUGGGCUUCACUGCUUGAAGGAAAUGCCUGGCUGAGGCAUAAGUUGAAGGUCCUCGGGAAGAACUCCAUGUUAUCUGGAAACGACUCCUGAGCUUGGACAGAUUUGUCCCAGGGAAAGAAGAGCCUUGAUCGUACCUUUGGCAAAAGCUCAAAGUGCAAGAGAUCAUCCCGGGUAGAGAAGCCAGGUGUGGCACUCAUUCUUGACCUACACCUGGCAGGGAUGGAACCAGUAUUGCAGGAGGUGCUGGUCCAGCUGACUUCUCACUCUACAGCAAACCCAGGAGUGUAACCUGCAGCAGAAGGCAGUGCCCCCACUUGCUGUUUUCUACUGCUUACUGAAAAGCAGAUCUCAAUUUCAGCAAAGCACUACCAGAUUUUUCAUCCUUCUUUUUCCUGGAUCUGAGAGAUGUAAAAGUAUUAUAGUUAGAGUGAUUCAGACGGAACCCAUUUUAAACACACUCUGUAAGGUUUUUCGUGGGAGAUGCGCCAUUAUGUUUGAAAAUACAAGAGGUGUUUAUGGAGAAAGAUGGAAGCUGCUUAUGAGACACAAGACAGGCCCUGUGGAAGUUUAGUCAUGAAGAAGAUAAAGAAGAUUUUCUGGAGGGAUCCUCUAGAAACAAACAACAAAACCCACAAAUUAUAAUGCAUCUGCACUUAGACUGCUAGGAACUUUGACUCGAUGGAGUGAAAGCUUAAGGCUUUGUUCUUUACCUGUGCUGCUUUCAAAAAAUGUGGACAGUGGGUCCAUUUUUGCAAGCAGAAGUUGUUUAACCAUGAGAUGAAUGUCCCAUGAUUUCAAAUGAUAUAUAAUAAACACUUUUCUUUUGUGUUUCCAAUCUA
Long non-coding RNA from Homo sapiens (human), 985 nucleotides. RefSeq lists it as uncharacterized. The record is from RefSeq and is a predicted model, not a curated record. The transcript is spliced from 2 exons. NCBI's taxonomy places the organism in Eukaryota, Metazoa, Chordata, Mammalia, Primates, Hominidae.